RNAcentral lists this unclassified non-coding RNA (497 nucleotides) under uncultured Glomus. RNAcentral's name for it is "SSU rRNA". It matches the Rfam family "Eukaryotic small subunit ribosomal RNA", at positions 591 to 1092 of the family's 1831-position model. Lineage: Eukaryota; Fungi; Glomeromycota; Glomeromycetes; Glomerales; Glomeraceae. The record is from RNAcentral.
CCAAUAGCGUAUAUUAAAGUUGUUGCAGUUAAAAAGCUCGUAGUUGAAUUUCGGGAUUAGUACGUCGGUCGUGCCUUCGGUACGUACUGGUGUUACUGAUUCCUACCUUCUGACGAACCAUCAUGUCAUUAAUUUGGUGUGGCGGGGAAUCAGGACUGUUACUUUGAAAAAAUUAGAGUGUUUAAAGCAGGCUCGCGCUUGAAUACAUUAGCAUGGAAUAAUGAAAUAGGACGUUGACCCUAUUUUGUUGGUUUCUAGGUUUGACGUAAUGAUUAAUAGGGAUAGUUGGGGGAAUUAGUAUUCAAUUGUCAGAGGUGAAAUUCUUGGAUUUAUUGAAGACUAACUACUGCGAAAGCAUUUGCCAAGGAUGUUUUCAUUAAUCAAGAACGAAAGUUAGGGGAUCGAAGACGAUCAGAUACCGUCGUAGUCUUAACCAUAAACUAUGCCGACUAGGGAUCGGAUGAUGUUAUUUUUAAUGACUCAUUCGGCGCCUUACG